UCUGUCUCUCAUGAAUAAAUCAAAUCUUUAAAAAGAAAAAAAGGAAAUAAGAUAAAGUUUUGACAAGCCCAGCCUUCUAAGAAAGUCAGUGGGAAGACUGGCUGUUAAAUAUAAUGUUCUACACAUGUUCUAAUGGAGUGCAGAGGGAAUUUGUGUUUAAAAUGCUGUGUCGUGGAAUACCUCAGGGUGCCAUCUGAUGGUUCAUUUAUUUCUAAACUUCGUACAGCUACCAUAUUGAUAAAUAAAUCCCCCACAGGAGUGCUAGGAAGUUCUCCUGGUUACCCUUUCUCCAUUUUUAUAGGUUAAGAAUCAAAGCCACCAGAAAGAGGUCGACAACAUACAACCUGAUACCCAAGCCUUGUUUUUGGUGGUGGGUAGUGAGGCUGUAGGCCUGAGGUUCCUUAGGCGAACAAUGGAGUGAAGAAAGUAAAUGGUUCUGCCUGCCAUCUCUAAGAGUAGUCACGAAUCCCCGCUAUGGAUGGAAGGGCCUUCUGGUCCCAGCAGCUGCUCCACAACAGAAUCAGGCCAUUUUCUCCAAGGUGGCCAACUAUCCCUAAUCUUUUUGUCAUGUCAGACUCCAUGGUAGAAGAUGCAACUGAGGGGGCUGCCUCUAAGGACCUUCUCCUCCUACAGGGGCCUAAUGUCCUGCUUUCUGGUACUGAGGAGGGAGCCAUGGAAACUGGUCAGAGAACCUCCUCCUUCCUGCAGGAAGAGAAAGAGAAUCAGGCAAAUCAAAAUGAAGCAAGGCCUAGGGCAGUGCCCAAAGCUGACAGGCCACCACCCUAUGCAAAUACAGUUGACUAAGACUCAAGUUGUUCAUCUGGCCCUUGGCCACCCUGCAGACUCUGCCGGUGAGGCCUGUCAGCCACUGGGAUGCCCUGGGCCCCAGACCUCUCCUGGCAGUUGUACCUCUGCUGGAUACCAUUCCUGGUAUCAUUCCUAGGGAAUCUGGAGGCAAGUCCAGGCUUAUGUGCUCAGUGAGAAACAGUGGGCAUGUGUUUGCCAUUUGACUGAGACCAUCAACAAACAAGGCUUGGAUCCCAGGUCUGGCUCUGAGGCCCGGGAGCUUCAGGCCUUUGCAGUGGCAGAACAGUGAGGGAGGUACUCCGGGCUUUCAGCACCUCUUAAAUCAUGCCAGAGAGAGAGCCACUUACUUCCACACGCACAGGCUGCCGCUGGCUCUGUCACAAGAAGAUGAACUACAAGUAAUAAAAUCAAGAUGAAGUUCUGUGUAAAUCUUUCUAGCUCACAAAGACUGUAGAAAGUUGAAGAUGAAAGGCAUAUUAAAGACCAUCGAGUCCUAUCUUCUCAUCCCGCAUCUGCAAACCUUCGGCCCUGAGAAGUGAGUGGACCACCCCACCAUCACGCAGCCCCUCCAAGGCGGCAGUGGCGCUGACUUUCCGUGGAUGUCACACCACAUCCUUGCCGGCCUGCUAGUCACACGUUAUCUCACGACUUCAGAAAACAGAGUCUGAAGACUUGAGGUUGAAGAGUUUCCUGUCAGGAGGACAUCAUUUGAUAGGUGAUGCAAUUAAUACCCUUUUGAAGUUUAAUUAUACCUCUGGCAUUGCAUUGCAUGAAGCAUUUACUCACGGCUGUGUUUUUGGAAGCUAAGUGUAUGGCAGGAACGACAUAUUUAUCUUGGAAUUGAGACUUGAGAAGCGAGUUCCUCCCUUGAACGUGGCCUAAGAUGUAUCACCUCCCCAUCUGGGAUUCCAGCCUCAGGUACAUAAGGAAGCCAACAGUAAAGUUGAAGAGUAAAAAGAGCAAGAAGACAUCUUCCAUGAAUGGAGCUAAAAGCUGAUGAGGGAAAGUACAGCCAUCCAACAUUUUUGCAGUUUAGUACUGAGCCUAUUUGGGAAAUUCAAGUCAGAAGAUUAAUGAGUGAAUAUAGAAGGCCUGGGAUGAGCUGAGCCAGAAAUGCCCCAAAUCCAUGUCUGAGACCAGCAGCCCUGUCCCAUAGCAUUGCUACUCUGCCAGGUUGUUCCAGAUUCUUCAAACUCUCCAUUUUUUGAUGCUGUGAUUACCUCUGUCAGCUCUGGUCCUAUCAAAUGGACCCCCAAGUAGGUCCUAAUAUCUUUGGUUUUAAACUUGGCCAGGAUUGCAGAAAAGAAGAAAACCCAAGAAGGCUCUAGUCGCCUAUGUUGAAGAAGUUAUGUUACUUUUCACAACUUGGGAUCAUGAGUUGAGCUGGACCAGCUUUGUGGGGUGUUCCACCUGCAGGUUCCCCCACCCACAUCUGCCUUUGGGCCCCAAAGACCUUGUUUUUCAAAGGGGUAUAGGAAUGCUCCUGGGCUAGUGGCUACAUAGGAUACAGCUAUGAGGAAGAGAAUUCUCCGCUCAGAGGCAGCCCUGCAUGAAAGCAAAGGAGAUGGCCUCCAUCAGCCCAUCGCCAAAUCCAAAGUCUAAGAGAGGGCAGCCCGGGUGGCUCAGCAGUUUAGCACUGCCUUUGGCCCAGACUGUGAUCCCGGAGUCCUGGGAUCGAGUCUCACGUCGGGCUCCCUGCACGGAGCCUGCUUCUCC
Long non-coding RNA from Canis lupus familiaris (dog), 2523 nucleotides. RefSeq lists it as uncharacterized. NCBI's taxonomy places the organism in Eukaryota, Metazoa, Chordata, Mammalia, Carnivora, Canidae. The record is from RefSeq and is a predicted model, not a curated record. The transcript is spliced from 4 exons.